GGACUACCCGGGUUUCUAAUCCCGUUUGCUCCCCUGGCCUUCGCGCCUCAGCGUCAGGAACUGUCCAGAGAUCCGCCUUCGCCACUGGUCUUCCUCACGAUAUCUACGCAUUUCACUGCUACACCGUGAAUUCCAAUCUCCUCUCCAGUCCUCAAGCAAAGCAGUAUCGAGUGCAGUUUCAGAGUUGAGCUCUGAGAUUUCACACCCGACUUGCCUCGCCGCCUACGCGCCCUUUACGCCCAAUGAAUCCGAACAACGCUCGAGACCUCUGUAUUACCGCGGCUGCUGGCAC
Molecule: ribosomal RNA, 292 nt
Filed under: uncultured Verrucomicrobiota bacterium
Lineage: Bacteria; Pseudomonadati; Verrucomicrobiota
Description: uncultured Verrucomicrobia bacterium partial 16S ribosomal RNA
Source: RNAcentral